Molecule: ribosomal RNA, 433 nt
Filed under: uncultured bacterium
Lineage: Bacteria
Description: partial 16S ribosomal RNA
Rfam family: Bacterial small subunit ribosomal RNA
Source: RNAcentral
AACGAACGCUGGCGGCAUGCCUAACACAUGCAAGUCGAACGAGACCUUCGGGUCUUGUGGCGCACGUGGGCGUAACGCGUGGGGACCUGCCCUUGGGUUCGCAAUACCUCCCCGAAAGGGGUGCUAAUACCGGAGAAUGUCUUCGGACCAAAGAUUUGUCGCGUUUGGGUGGGCCCGCGUUGGAUUAGCGAGGUGGUAGGGUAAAAGCAUAUCAAGGGGUCGAUCGAUAGCUGGUCUGAGAGGAUGCUCCGCCACACUGGGGCUCAGACACGGACCAGAAUCUUACGGGACGGAGGAGAGGGUAAUAUAGGACAAUGGGCGAAGUCGUGAUACAGCUAUGCCGCGUAAGUGAUGAAGGCCGUAGGGAAGUAAAGCUCUUUUACCCGGGACGAUAAUGACAGUACCGGGAGAAUAAGCACCGGCUAACUCCGUG